RNAcentral lists this transfer RNA (83 nucleotides) under Lebetimonas natsushimae. It matches the Rfam family "tRNA". From Rfam's summary of the family: Transfer RNA (tRNA) molecules are approximately 80 nucleotides in length. Their secondary structure includes four short double-helical elements and three loops (D, anti-codon, and T loops). The record is from Rfam by way of RNAcentral. Lineage: Bacteria; Pseudomonadati; Campylobacterota; Epsilonproteobacteria; Nautiliales; Nautiliaceae.
GCCGGCGUGGCGGAACUGGUAGACGCGUCGGACUCAAAAUCCGAUGAGCUCUGCUCAUGUGGGUUCGAGUCCCACCGCCGGUA